Molecule: ribosomal RNA, 704 nt
Filed under: Halomonas caseinilytica
Lineage: Bacteria; Pseudomonadati; Pseudomonadota; Gammaproteobacteria; Oceanospirillales; Halomonadaceae
Description: bacterial SSU rRNA
Rfam family: Bacterial small subunit ribosomal RNA
Source: RNAcentral
CAGUCGAGCGGAACGAUCCUAGCUUGCUAGGAGGCGUCGAGCGGCGGACGGGUGAGUAAUGCAUAGGAAUCUGCCCGGUAGUGGGGGAUAACCUGAGGAAACUCAGGCUAAUACCGCAUACGUCCUACGGGAGAAAGCAGGGGCUCUUCGGACCUUGCGCUAUCGGAUGAGCUUAUGUCGGAUUAGCUGGUUGGUGAGGUAACGGCUCACCAAGGCGACGAUCCGUAGCUGGUCUGAGAGGAUGAUCAGCCACAUCGGGACUGAGACACGGCCCGAACUCCUACGGGAGGCAGCAGUGGGGAAUAUUGGACAAUGGGGGCAACCCUGAUCCAGCCAUGCCGCGUGUGUGAAGAAGGCCCUCGGGUUGUAAAGCACUUUCAGUGAGGAAGAAGGCUUGUCGGUUAAUACCCGGCAAGAAAGACAUCACUCACAGAAGAAGCACCGGCUAACUCCGUGCCAGCAGCCGCGGUAAUACGGAGGGUGCGAGCGUUAAUCGGAAUUACUGGGCGUAAAGCGUGCGUAGGCGGCUUGAUAAGCCGGUUGUGAAAGCCCCGGGCUCAACCUGGGAACGGCAUCCGGAACUGUCAGGCUAGAGUGCAGGAGAGGAAGGUAGAAUUCCCGGUGUAGCGGUGAAAUGCGUAGAGAUCGGGAGGAAUACCAGUGGCGAAGGCGGCCUUCUGGACUGACACUGACGCUGAGGUACG